UCAUUUGCCCUGUAAUUGAGGGCUAGUAUGAAUGGUUUGACAAGAGUAAUACUGUCUCCACAGAAAUUUUUAGAAUUUAUUAUCUAAGUGAAGAAUCUUAGAUAAAAUUAAAAGACAAGAAGACCCUAUCGAGCUUGAAAUAUAUUUACAAAAUAAAAAAAAUAGCUAAUAUAUUUUCAAUUGUAAAAAAUUUUGGUUGGGGCGACUAAGGAACAAAUAAAGCUUCUUUAUAAUGAUUUUAACUCAUAAGUAAUGAUCCGUUAAUUAUAACGAUUAAAAGAAUUAGUUACCGUAGGGAUAACAGCAUAAUCUUUUUUGAGAGUUCUAAUCGAAAAAAGGGUUUGU
This 345-nucleotide ribosomal RNA is filed under the name Neverita duplicata. RNAcentral describes it as "partial 16S ribosomal RNA". Lineage: Eukaryota; Metazoa; Mollusca; Gastropoda; Littorinimorpha; Naticidae. The record is from RNAcentral.